This 2902-nucleotide ribosomal RNA is filed under the name Shigella flexneri K-304. RNAcentral describes it as "bacterial LSU rRNA". It matches the Rfam family "Bacterial large subunit ribosomal RNA". Lineage: Bacteria; Pseudomonadati; Pseudomonadota; Gammaproteobacteria; Enterobacterales; Enterobacteriaceae. The record is from RNAcentral.
UUAAGCGACUAAGCGUACACGGUGGAUGCCCUGGCAGUCAGAGGCGAUGAAGGACGUGCUAAUCUGCGAUAAGCGUCGGUAAGGUGAUAUGAACCGUUAUAACCGGCGAUUUCCGAAUGGGGAAACCCAGUGUGAUUCGUCACACUAUCAUUAACUGAAUCCAUAGGUUAAUGAGGCGAACCGGGGGAACUGAAACAUCUAAGUACCCCGAGGAAAAGAAAUCAACCGAGAUUCCCCCAGUAGCGGCGAGCGAACGGGGAGCAGCCCAGAGCCUGAAUCAGUGUGUGUGUUAGUGGAAGCGUCUGGAAAGGCGUGCGAUACAGGGUGACAGCCCCGUACACAAAAAUGCACAUACUGUGAGCACGAUGAGUAGGGCGGGACACGUGGUAUCCUGUCUGAAUAUGGGGGGACCAUCCUCCAAGGCUAAAUACUCCUGACUGACCGAUAGUGAACCAGUACCGUGAGGGAAAGGCGAAAAGAACCCCGGCGAGGGGAGUGAAAAAGAACCUGAAACCGUGUACGUACAAGCAGUGGGAGCACGCUUAGGCGUGUGACUGCGUACCUUUUGUAUAAUGGGUCAGCGACUUAUAUUCUGUAGCAAGGUUAACCGAAUAGGGGAGCCGAAGGGAAACCGAGUCUUAACUGGGCGUUAAGUUGCAGGGUAUAGACCCGAAACCCGGUGAUCUAGCCAUGGGCAGGUUGAAGGUUGGGUAACACUAACUGGAGGACCGAACCGACUAAUGUUGAAAAAUUAGCGGAUGACUUGUGGCUGGGGGUGAAAGGCCAAUCAAACCGGGAGAUAGCUGGUUCUCCCCGAAAGCUAUUUAGGUAGCGCCUCGUGAAUUCAUCUCCGGGGGUAGAGCACUGUUUCGGCAAGGGGGUCAUCCCGACUUACCAACCCGAUGCAAACUGCGAAUACCGGAGAAUGUUAUCACGGGAGACACACGGCGGGUGCUAACGUCCGUCGUGAAGAGGGAAACAACCCAGACCGCCAGCUAAGGUCCCAAAGUCAUGGUUAAGUGGGAAACGAUGUGGGAAGGCCCAGACAGCCAGGAUGUUGGCUUAGAAGCAGCCAUCAUUUAAAGAAAGCGUAAUAGCUCACUGGUCGAGUCGGCCUGCGCGGAAGAUGUAACGGGGCUAAACCAUGCACCGAAGCUGCGGCAGCGACGCUUAUGCGUUGUUGGGUAGGGGAGCGUUCUGUAAGCCUGUGAAGGUGUGCUGUGAGGUAUGCUGGAGGUAUCAGAAGUGCGAAUGCUGACAUAAGUAACGAUAAAGCGGGUGAAAAGCCCGCUCGCCGGAAGACCAAGGGUUCCUGUCCAACGUUAAUCGGGGCAGGGUGAGUCGACCCCUAAGGCGAGGCCGAAAGGCGUAGUCGAUGGGAAACAGGUUAAUAUUCCUGUACUUGGUGUUACUGCGAAGGGGGGACGGAGAAGGCUAUGUUGGCCGGGCGACGGUUGUCCCGGUUUAAGCGUGUAGGCUGGUUUUCCAGGCAAAUCCGGAAAAUCAAGGCCGAGGCGUGAUGACGAGGCACUACGGUGCUGAAGCAACAAAUGCCCUGCUUCCAGGAAAAGCCUCUAAGCAUCAGGUAACAUCAAAUCGUACCCCAAACCGACACAGGUGGUCAGGUAGAGAAUACCAAGGCGCUUGAGAGAACUCGGGUGAAGGAACUAGGCAAAAUGGUGCCGUAACUUCGGGAGAAGGCACGCUGAUACGUAGGUGAAGCGACUUGCUCGUGGAGCUGAAAUCAGUCGAAGAUACCAGCUGGCUGCAACUGUUUAUUAAAAACACAGCACUGUGCAAACACGAAAGUGGACGUAUACGGUGUGACGCCUGCCCGGUGCCGGAAGGUUAAUUGAUGGGGUUAGCGCAAGCGAAGCUCUUGAUCGAAGCCCCGGUAAACGGCGGCCGUAACUAUAACGGUCCUAAGGUAGCGAAAUUCCUUGUCGGGUAAGUUCCGACCUGCACGAAUGGCGUAAUGAUGGCCAGGCUGUCUCCACCCGAGACUCAGUGAAAUUGAACUCGCUGUGAAGAUGCAGUGUACCCGCGGCAAGACGGAAAGACCCCGUGAACCUUUACUAUAGCUUGACACUGAACAUUGAGCCUUGAUGUGUAGGAUAGGUGGGAGGCUUUGAAGUGUGGACGCCAGUCUGCAUGGAGCCGACCUUGAAAUACCACCCUUUAAUGUUUGAUGUUCUAACGUGGACCCGUGAUCCGGGUUGCGGACAGUGUCUGGUGGGUAGUUUGACUGGGGCGGUCUCCUCCUAAAGAGUAACGGAGGAGCACGAAGGUUGGCUAAUCCUGGUCGGACAUCAGGAGGUUAGUGCAAUGGCAUAAGCCAGCUUGACUGCGAGCGUGACGGCGCGAGCAGGUGCGAAAGCAGGUCAUAGUGAUCCGGUGGUUCUGAAUGGAAGGGCCAUCGCUCAACGGAUAAAAGGUACUCCGGGGAUAACAGGCUGAUACCGCCCAAGAGUUCAUAUCGACGGCGGUGUUUGGCACCUCGAUGUCGGCUCAUCACAUCCUGGGGCUGAAGUAGGUCCCAAGGGUAUGGCUGUUCGCCAUUUAAAGUGGUACGCGAGCUGGGUUUAGAACGUCGUGAGACAGUUCGGUCCCUAUCUGCCGUGGGCGCUGGAGAACUGAGGGGGGCUGCUCCUAGUACGAGAGGACCGGAGUGGACGCAUCACUGGUGUUCGGGUUGUCAUGCCAAUGGCACUGCCCGGUAGCUAAAUGCGGAAGAGAUAAGUGCUGAAAGCAUCUAAGCACGAAACUUGCCCCGAGAUGAGUUCUCCCUGACCCUUUAAGGGUCCUGAAGGAACGUUGAAGACGACGACGUUGAUAGGCCGGGUGUGUAAGCGCAGCGAUGCGUUGAGCUAACCGGUACUAAUGAACCGUGAGGCUUAACCUU